RNAcentral lists this long non-coding RNA (204 nucleotides) under Ananas comosus (pineapple). Its description in RNAcentral is "long non-coding RNA (ACOM_LNC003900)". Lineage: Eukaryota; Viridiplantae; Streptophyta; Magnoliopsida; Poales; Bromeliaceae. The record is from RNAcentral.
GCGCUGUAUGUCCGAUGAGCUUCGUCGGGAGAAGUCGAGACGAUACGGAUGCUAAUGUCGGAAUCCGACUCGUCUUUCAGAUCAGCGAUAAUAAAACCGUCGUCACUAUUUGUCGCUUCUGCAUCGUCAAUGAGAAUAGGAUGAGAAGAUCUGCAGCACAAGUGAAAGCAAGGAGUGCAUUGUAAAUAUUAAAUAGUACAAGAA